UCAAGCGAAUAAGCGCACACGGUGGAUGCCUUGGCGGUCAGAGGCGAUGAAGGACGUGGCAGCCUGCGAAAAGUAUCGGGGAGCUGGCAACAAGCUUUGAUCCGGUAAUGUCCGAAUGGGGAAACCCACCCGCUUGCGGGUAUCCUGCAGUGAAUACAUAGCUGCUGGAAGCGAACCUGGUGAACUGAAAUAUCUAAGUAACCAGAGGAAAAGAAAUCAACCGAGAUUCCGUAAGUAGCGACGAGCGAACGCGGACUAGCCCUUAAGCUGAUUUGGUUCUAGGAAAACGCUCUGGAAAGAGCGGCCAUAGAAGGUGAUAGCCCUGUAUCUGAAAGGGCCAUUUCAGUGAAGACGAGUAGGGCGGGGCACGUGAAACCCUGUCUGAACAUGGGGGGACCAUCCUCCAAGGCUAAAUACUACUGACCGACCGAUAGUGAACCAGUACCGUGAGGGAAAGGCGAAAAGAACCCCGGAGAGGGGAGUGAAAUAGAACCUGAAACCGUGUGCGUACAAGCAGUAGGAGCUCCGCAAGGAGUGACUGCGUACCUUUUGUAUAAUGGGUCAGCGACUUACUGUUCGUGGCAAGCUUAACCGUAUAGGGGAGGCGAAGGGAAACCGAGUCUGAUAAGGGCGCAUAGUCGCGGGCAGUAGACCCGAAACCGGGUGAUCUAGUCAUGCCCAGGGUGAAGGUGCGGUAACACGCACUGGAGGCCCGAACCCACUCCCGUUGCAAAGGUAGGGGAUGAGGUGUGAUUAGGAGUGAAAAGCUAAUCGAACCCGGAGAUAGCUGGUUCUCCUCGAAAGCUAUUUAGGUAGCGCCUCAUAUGUAUCCUCUCGGGGGUAGAGCACUGUUAUGGCUAGGGGGUCAUCGCGACUUACCAAACCAUUGCAAACUCCGAAUACCGAGACGGACUGUAUGGGAGACACACGGCGGGUGCUAACGUCCGUCGUGAAAAGGGAAACAACCCAGACCCACAGCUAAGGUCCCAAAUUUUGUGCUAAGUGGAAAACCAUGUGGAAAGGCACAGACAGCCAGGAGGUUGGCUUAGAAGCAGCCACCCUUUAAAGAAAGCGUAAUAGCUCACUGGUCGAGUCGGUCUGCGGGGAAGAUUUAACGGGGCUAAGCACAGAACCGAAGCUUGGGGUGCAUAACUUUGUUAUGCGCGGUAGAGGAGCGUUCCGUAAGCCGUUGAAGGUGGAUUGAGAAGUCUGCUGGAGGUAUCGGAAGUGCGAAUGCUGACAUGAGUAACGAUAAUGCGGGUGAAAAACCCGCACGCCGAAAGCCCAAGGUUUCCUUGCGCAACGUUAAUCGGCGCAGGGUGAGUCGGCCCCUAAGGCGAGGACGAAAGUCGUAGUCGAUGGGAAGCAGGUUAAUAUUCCUGCACCUCGCGUAAGUGCGAUGGAGGGACGGAGAAGGUUAGGUGUACCAGGCGUUGGUUGUCCUGGGGAAAGGCGGUAGGUUUGGAUCUUUGGCAAAUCCGGGAUCCUUUAAGACCGAGCACCGAGACGAGCCUUUAUGGCAAAGUCACUGAUACCACGCUUCCAGGAAAAGCUCCUAAGCUUCAGCUUACGCAGACCGUACCGUAAACCGACACAGGUGGGUAGGAUGAGAAUUCUCAGGCGCUUGAGAGAACUCGGGUGAAGGAACUAGGCAACAUGGCACCGUAACUUCGGGAGAAGGUGCACCCUUUUUGGUGGCUCGUGCGAGCUAUAGCUGAAGAGGGUCGCAGUAACCAGGCCGCUGCGACUGUUUAUCAAAAACACAGCACUCUGCAAACACGAAAGUGGACGUAUAGGGUGUGACGCCUGCCCGGUGCUGGAAGGUUAAUUGAUGGGGUCGGCCGCAAGGCGAAGCUCUUGAUCGAAGCCCCAGUAAACGGCGGCCGUAACUAUAACGGUCCUAAGGUAGCGAAAUUCCUUGUCGGGUAAGUUCCGACCUGCACGAAUGGCGUAACGACAGCGGCGCUGUCUCCACCCGAGACUCAGUGAAAUUGAAAUCGCUGUGAAGAUGCAGCGUUCCCGUGGCAAGACGGAGAGACCCCGUGAACCUUUACUAUAGCUUUACACUGAACGUUGAGUUCGUCUGUGUAGGAUAGGUGGGAGGCUAUGAAACCAUGGCGCUAGCUGUGGUGGAGCCAUCCUUGAAAUACCACCCUGUCGUGCUUGACGUUCUAACCUGGGCCCAUUAUCUGGGUCGGGGACCGUGUAUGGUGGGUAGUUUGACUGGGGCGGUCUCCUCCUAAAGAGUAACGGAGGAGCUCGAAGGUACGCUCAGCGCGGUCGGACAUCGCGCACUGUGUGCAAAGGCAUAAGCGUGCUUGACUGCAAGAUCGACGGAUCAAGCAGGUAGGAAACUAGGACUUAGUGAUCCGGUGGUUCUGUAUGGAAGGGCCAUCGCUCAACGGAUAAAAGGUACUCCGGGGAUAACAGGCUGAUACCGCCCAAGAGUUCAUAUCGACGGCGGUGUUUGGCACCUCGAUGUCGGCUCAUCACAUCCUGGGGCUGUAGUCGGUCCCAAGGGUAUGGCUGUUCGCCAUUUAAAGUGGUACGCGAGCUGGGUUCAGAACGUCGUGAGACAGUUCGGUCCCUAUCUGCCAUGGGCGUUGGAGAUUUGAGAGGGGCUGCUCCUAGUACGAGAGGACCGGAGUGGACGAACCUCUGGUGUUCCGGUUGUCACGCCAGUGGCAUUGCCGGGUAGCUAUGUUCGGAAGCGAUAACCGCUGAAAGCAUCUAAGCGGGAAGCGCGCCUCAAGAUGAGAUCUCCCGGGGCACAAGUCCCCUGAAGGAACCAUGUAGACUACGUGGUUGAUAGGUCAGGUGUGUAAGUACAGCAAUGUAUUGAGCUAACUGAUACUAAUGAUCCGUGCGGCUUGACCAU
Molecule: ribosomal RNA, 2878 nt
Filed under: Stenotrophomonas maltophilia
Lineage: Bacteria; Pseudomonadati; Pseudomonadota; Gammaproteobacteria; Lysobacterales; Lysobacteraceae
Description: bacterial LSU rRNA
Rfam family: Bacterial large subunit ribosomal RNA
Source: RNAcentral